Molecule: small nucleolar RNA, 175 nt
Organism: Erinaceus europaeus (western European hedgehog)
Lineage: Eukaryota; Metazoa; Chordata; Mammalia; Eulipotyphla; Erinaceidae
Source: Ensembl
GCAUUCAUUUUUGCUGUUUUUUAUCUGUGUCUGACUGCAGUGUCCAUCUGUAUUUUGCAUUCAGAUCUAACCUCACAAUAAGCAGCUAGGGAGUAAACUGGUAUCAUAGUGCUGGUUUAGUGUUGUCUUUUCAGACAUAUCUACCUCUGGCCAGACUUCAAAUCCUCAAUCUCCU